RNAcentral lists this long non-coding RNA (7549 nucleotides) under Citrus maxima (pomelo). RNAcentral's name for it is "long non-coding RNA (CMAX_LNC001791)". Lineage: Eukaryota; Viridiplantae; Streptophyta; Magnoliopsida; Sapindales; Rutaceae. The record is from RNAcentral.
GGCCCACCACUUGAAGAAAGCCCGGACCCGAAUCCCGUCCAGCUCCGCGAUGCGACCCUGCUCGAUUUUCCCCCUGAUUUUGUUUGAGUAAGUGGCCAGGUAGUUGUCCGGCGGGAGCGUCAACCUACACGCACCUCCGAGAUGAACGAAGAACUCGCCCGAGGUUUGGUUUAGAGUGUAGCUCUGAACCGAGGCAGGAAGGAGCCCGAUCGGGAACCCGUAGUUGGUUAGCUCCGCAUGGGCCAGGGUCGGCGGGUUCGGGUCCGAAGAUGACAGAGGUAUCAGGACGAGAAGAAUAGAGAGAAGCAGGGGGGAUUUGAGCAUUGUGUCUUUUUUUUUUUUUUAUACUUUUUCGCUUUAUUUUUUAGGAAUUGAGGAUCUUUUUAGUGCGUUUCCAAAUGUCCAAUCGUUUGGAUUCUUUCGGUAUCGGAUUUCAUUUAUUUAUUUAUUUCAAAAUUUUGGAGGAGGAAGAGAAGAAUGUGGAUAAGGAAAGGAUUGACUAUGGCCAGGCAAAUGACUGACGUGGUAAACAACGAAACUUCGCAAAAGAAGAGAUGCAACGCCAGCGUUUUGUCGGACUCGUCCACUUGCGACAGUUGAAAGCGAGCGAUUGUGAUGCGAAGUCCAAAACUGCAAGACGAGGAUACCAAUUGGGCUGGACAGGCCCGAUGACAGCUUGGUUAAUGACCCAUGUGAUUUUUUGUAGGGAUGGCAAUAACGAGGGAAGAAAAGGGUUCCGCCAUCCCCCUACUUAUUCUUUAUAUUUUAUAUAUGGUCUUUCCUCCUCGAUCCUUUUAGAAUUACCUGGGAGGAGGCGAUAGGUUCCCGAAUGAUAACAAAGAAUCUACGAGGUUUCAAUUCCUAAAUAAUUAAUAUAUUUUUAGUUUUUAAACUUAAUUUAAUUAUAUUAAAAUAAAUAAAAUUUGGUAAUAUAUCUUACAUGAAUAUUAAUUUAUUAAAAAAGUUACACUACACAAUAUAAAUUAUCAUAAUAAUUAUCUUAGUAAAUCUUUACAAUCCUAUAACUAAAAAAAAAAAUUACUUUUAUAUCAAUAAUGAAAUAAUUGAAAUAGAUAUGCAUACUUAAAUAAAUGAGAUGAGGAGGUAAUGUGCUAUUGAGCUAUGAUGAGAUGAAGACGAGAUAGUGUGCUAGUUGAGGUACGAAUAAUUUGGAAAGAAUGGGUGAGACUAUGAGCGAGUGGUUAAGGGUUUGAUUUAUGGAUUGUGCGCUUGUCGGUUAUAGUCUUUGGGCUGUUGUUGAGUUUAAAUCAUAUUAAAGUCUUUAUAUUCAUUAAUACUUAUGUCAAAAAAUCAAAUGUAAUUUACAAAAAUUAACAAACAAAUUUAAAAAAAUAUUUAAAACUACUAAAAUUUUAAAUUUCAGAUAUUUAACAAACAUAUCCUAAGAUUUAUAUCUUUUGAUAAAAGUUCUAUAUCAUACUAUCUUCAUGGUACAAUUAAUGACUGUAACCCGUAAUUCUUUCGUUUGUUAAUCCUUCCAAGGAACAUAUUAAAUACUUUCAAGGAAAAAAAAAAGAAAGAAAAAUACUCCAUCAAAAUUAUUAAUGUUAGAAUUGAUUUUUUUGCAUUCCAUUAAAUUAUAUUAAAACCCUAAAAACCAAUAGACAUUAAAUAAACACUAAUCUAAACUAAAAAAUUUCAUACUUUAUUCUCUAUAAAGAAAAUUCUUCUUUACCAAACCAUUGCUAUCAUCUUAUGGUUAUUAUACUCAUUCCAGUUAGUCAACUUUCCAAGUGCUAUCAUUAUAAUCAUUUUAUUUUAAAUUAUUAUUGUUCUUAUUUUUUUUACAAAUUUUAAUUUAUUUUUUGCAUUGACAUAUGACCAAAAAAAAGAGUAAAUUUUGAGCUAUUUUAUAUUUCUUUUAGAGCUGAUGUUGUUGAAUAUAUGAAGGCCUAAAAAAAAGUUCGCUUAAAGCCUAAGUGAAUUAAUAAAUAUUUGUUUGCCUUCCCAACACAAAUAAGAGAAAAUUUGAGGUUUUCAAUAAUUUUAAGAUAUUUUGAAUAUUAUCAUUUGGCAGAUUCUGUAACAUACGCACCCAAUGCAUGCACCACACCUGUCCUGCAAAUGGAGAAAAAAAUGCAAUUGUUUUUGUUUGGUAGCUAGCUAACCAAUCAGGAGCUGGUUAAGUUGGAUCUGUAUGUUACAGAAUCUGUAGCUUAGCCAUCUCCUAUCAUUUGAUGAGAAGAGUUAUUCGAAAUUAAACUUCAAUAAAAAAAAAAAAAUCAAUCUCUCUGAUUUUUGCAGGCAAUACAAUGGCCCCGUUUAGACCUAUAUUUGGGGAAAAAAUUUCGCCUCCUUUAUAGGCGUGGGGCAGGUGCGCUGGCGCCAAACGGGCUACAAGCAAUGUGGUCCUCUUGGCGACGUGGUCAUAACAAAGCUGAAACAGACGUUGAUUCACUGACAGCAGAGAUGUGACAUGCACAGACUUACGUAUAGACCUGGGCCUACUAGUCACCCACCGCCCCUGAGCCACUACUCCAAACAGUUUAAAAUUAUUUAAUAAUUGAUAGAUGCAAUCAACAACAAAAAAAAAAAAAAAAAGGAAAAAGGAUGAAGGAAACGACAGCCUGGUCAUUGAUUGGCUGAAUUUCAGAUUAUUGCCGUAAAACAAAUAAUUUUUAAAAUAUUUAUUUUUUGAAUUAUUACAAAUUUUAAUUUAUUUUUAUUUUAUUUAAAAUAUAAAAAAUAGAGAUAAAUUUAGCGCUAAAUAAAUUAGGCGGUGGUGUAGGAUCCCAUACUUUUAAAAGGCUCUAUUUUUUAGGUGAUUAUUCUUUAAAAUUUUAAGAAUUUUCUUUUAAGUUACGUAGGCAGAAAAUUAAUUUUUAUUUUCUAUAUUAUUGUUAAUAGAUUAGAGAUCUAUAGAAUUGACUGAAAAAAAUGAUAGUAAUUAAAAUCUUUAUUUGCAACCAUCCGGUUUCAGAUUUAAAUCUUAAAAAAAAAAUCAAGGUUUAAACCCUAUAAUAAAUUAUGAUCGGAGUCUAAAGCAAAAGAUCAAAUCCGGUCGCAUACCCACAUUUUGCUAUUCGUAUUGAGAAAUUUUAAAAUACCUCUAAUGUAUUACAAUUAAUUGAUGCAUGUAUGACAUGUGUGGUUAAAUUUAAUAUAACCUUUGCUUGUAUGGAGGUUUUUCAAAAUAAAAAUACAUAUGUCAUGCAUGUUAUAUGAUUGACAUAGUACCUAUGAUGUAUUCUAAAAUUUUUCAUCCGUAUUACCAAUUUGCCAUUCUUACAACUAAUUAUUCAAGAGGUUCAGCAGUUUUGAUAUUUUUCACUUAUUUGUUGCUUGCAUUAUCACCAUUCUUCUUGUCACCUUUUUAUUAGGAGGCUCAAGAGUCCUGAUAUUUUUUAUUUUGUUUGUUGCUUGCAUUAUCAAUAUUCUCGUUGUUACUAUUUGCGAGUUUGUCAUAAUCAUGUAAAUUAAUCUGAUUAAAAAAAAAUUUCGGGCAUAUGCCAAGAGUUGAAUGCGGAUUAAGUUUCUGUUUUAUUUCAGAAAAUGAAGCCUAAAGAAUUCAGUUCAAAUUAAGAUAUUUUUUAAAUUAAUUUAUUCAUCUCUAACUUUCUGAAUGCAGUAUGUAGAUACAAACUAUAAAGUAGAACAAUGAAGAGGUGAAGCAAGAAUCCCACGAGUUUUUUUAAUUUUUAAUUUUUAAUUUUUAAUUUUUAAUUUUUAAUUUUUAUUUCUUUAAUGGAAAUCCAAUGAGAGCUUAAAUUACUAAACUGCAACCGUGGCUUGAAGCUUUCUAGUAACAGAAUCAAAAUUACAAUAAACUUUUUACGUACCUUGUUCCCUAAUGCAUCAAGACCAUAAGCACUCGAGUUCUAAUAAAUGAGUGAAUCAUCAUAAUUUAUGCUCUUUCACAAAAAUAUUAUGAACUUAUAGAUUAAAACUCGUUAAUUUGGUAGAAUAUAAAAAAUUAACUAAAUUAAAAAAACUUAAAAAAUUUUAAAAAUAAAAAAAUUUAUUCAAUUCAAAUCUGCCGGCCAUAAUUGACAACAGCUGCUUAUGAACGAGACCACUUGCAUAUUGUUAUGUUAAGUAGGCCAAUUAAUCAAUCGCCCACCGCUUCCAGUACGGCAAACUAUGUUUAGUAAUUGACAUAAAAUAAAAGAAGAAAGGAGCAAAGAAACAACAACUAGAGCCAAUCUCCAAGCAAAUAUGGAUCUUCAAAACAGACAGAAGCUUCACAUAGCAAUGUUUCCAUGGCUGGCUUACGGCCACAUCAUGCCUUUUUUCCAAGUCGCCAUGUUUUUGGCUGAAAAGGGUCACCACGUAUCUUACAUCUCCACCCCAAAAAAUAUUGAUCACCUCCCACAAAUUCCCACGAGUUUGUCCUCCCGUUUGAGCUAUAUACAGCUUCCUUUGCCUCAACUCGAUGGCCUGCCAGAGGGAGCUGAGUCAACUGCCGAGUUACCCAUUCACAAAGUUCCUUAUCUUAAAAAGGCCUACGACUUGCUCCAACUUCCCUUGACAAACUUCCUCCAAGUUUCACGCGUCAACUGGAUCAUUCACGACAUUAUCUCUCACUGGUUGCCUCCUGUCGCCGCUCAAUUCGGCGUCAACUCAGUCUUCUUCAGCAUAUACAGCGCCGCAACUCUUUGUUUUCUUGGCCCGCCUUCAGACCUGAUCGCAGGUCGCCGCCAGAAGCCGGAGGACUUCACGGUAGUCCCGGAGUGGAUAGACUUUCAAUCUAAUCUUGCUUUUAAGCCCUAUGAGACAGUAAUCAACAAGGACGGCAUGGACGACUCAGUGUCCGAUCAUCUUCGCUUUGCAUUUGUGCUUCAAGAUUGCCGAGUCGUGAUUCUUAGGAGCUGUGCAGAGUUUGAACCCGACGCUCUUCGUUUACUCGGUAAGAUUCUCCAAAAACCGGUUUUACCGGUCGGCUUUCUCGCACCAUCACUCCAAGAUUCCGCGGCGGGUGAGCAUUGGCCGGUGUUAAAAGACUGGCUUGACAGUAAGGAAAAUAACUCGGUGGUUUAUGCUGCAUUCGGGACUGAGAUGACUCUUAGUCAAGAGCUGCUGCAUGAGUUAGCUUAUGGACUAGAGAAAUCCGGGUUGCCUUUUAUUUGGAUAAUCAAGAACCGCCCACUUGUUGAAGGGGAAUCGGGCCUGGAUCAUCUUCUCCCUCCCGGGUUUCAAGAACAGGUCUCUGGUACGGGCUUGGUGUGGACAGAUUGGGCACCUCAGUUAAGGAUCUUGGCCCAUCCAUCUAUUGGUGGGUUCUUGACACACUCUGGUUGGAGUUCCGUCAUUGAGGCGCUCGGGUUGGGUCGGCCGUUGAUUUUACUCCCCGGAAGUUCGGAUACUGGGUUGGUUGCUAGGUUGAUGCACAGCAGGCGGCUCGGGCUUGAGGUAGAGAGAAAUGAGCAAGAUGGGUCGUUUACGAGGGACUCAGUGGCCGAUUGCAUUAGGCGAGUCGUGGUGGACCACGAAGGUGAGCCACUUAGAGCGAAUGCACGGGCAAUGAGAGAGAUCUUUGGCAGUACGGAUUUGAGCUACAAGCAUUUGGACGAGUUCACUCGGUUCAUUGAGAAUUAUACCGCUUCAACUAAGUCUCUUUGAUCCGUGGAUGCUAUUUUUCAUUUUGUAGUAAAAAGUAUUGAAGGGCAAUGUAAAUGGAGGGAAACCUUGUUCCUCAAGUUUUAUUCGCAAAACAUCAUAUCUAUUGUACAAUGCUUUGGCAUCACCAUCUCUUUGAAAUUUCUACCUAAUUUUUUAGCUAAAAUUUUACAAAAUGUAUAUACGAUAACACAGUUCAAAACAAUCAUACCCAGAAUAAUUUCAGAACUCCAAUAUUACCAUUAUUCAUAAAGAGAAGAGACUGACACAGCCAUAAUAAAGGCUGAAAUCCAUAACCGAAUUUACAGAUUACAUGCAGGAAAAGAAAUACCGUGAGGAUUUCAUCCACCUGGUAAAGAUUGACAUAAGCAGUCUACAAACCUACAAAUUCAUUGCCUAGUGGCUAGUACUCCCUGAUUUAUGUUAAUAUAAUAUUAAUUCCUGCAGCAAACGGCAAGCCCUGCAAAGAAAUAUGAAAAUUCUUGACGUGAGUUUGAUAGAAUUUUUUGUCCAAUCAUCAACACCAUAACAAGUCGACUAGAAUGUGAAUUAUGCAUAACCAAGUAAAAUUAUGCAUGAUGCAGACGAAAGCAUUGUAGAAUGUGAAUUACGAGUUAAAUUAAGCAUAUUGGUAUAUAAAACGUAUUAAUGUGUACUAUGCUUACUAUCCUACAGAAUGGACAAUGGCAUUUCUAACAAGCUCAAAUAGGAAGUCUAUUUUUAAUAUGCAUGUCUUGGACCUCGUGGUAAAAUUUGUAAGAAGAAACGGUUGCUCUCUAGUCUCCGCAUGAGGCAUUCAGCAAAUAAAACUCCAUUGUCUGCAGAAAAGAACUAGAGUUUUCAGGUCCAACAUUAUUGCAAUAAAAUUUACUUGGCCUUAAUACUAAAAGUGUUCUUUUGCAACUCAACAUCAAUUUCAGCCGCCAAAUUCAGGCAUAAACACGCAUUCAUAUUUUCUAAAAAGGAUCUUAACAACUCUCCCCAUUACUAACUAUGAAGUAGAACCAUGAAGAUGAAGCUGUUAGAAGCUAUGAUCUAAUAAGUGUCUGAUUUAUUAUGUUCAACUCUGGCUUGUACUGUUCUUUGAACAGCAUCAAAUUCACAAUGCAAUAUUAUCAUACUUCCUCAUUCAUCAAUACCACAAUCACUUAAGGGUUCCAGUACGUGUACGAAUAACGCUUGAAUUAAAACCACUGAAUUGGGAUUUGGGAUAUGCCAUUUCCACUUCUUAUUUCCUUGUACGGUCACUCGACAAGACUUUCAGUUCCCUCGCCAAACUACAAACUUGCCCCUCCUACCACUUUCUAAUACAUUUCUAUUUAUUCCGAUAAUAAAAAUUAAAACUUUACUCUAAAAUUGAUCAAUGUAACAGCAAUUAAUUAUUUUAAAAAAAAAUUGAAUUUUAGAAACCCAAACCUACAUCAAGCAGCUGAUUUAUGGCCGUCACACUCGGGACUUUCAUCAAAAUUCUUACUGGGAUACUUAGCCGUGACCAUUCCAACUUCAAACACCAAAUUAUCCCCACUUGAUCGGAUCCCCGUGAUGGCCCACCACUUGAAGAAAGCCCGGACCCGAAUCCCGUCCAGCUCCGCGAUGCGACCCUGCUCGAUUUUCCCCCUGAUUUUGUUUGAGUAAGUGGCCAGGUAGUUGUCCGGCGGGAGCGUCAACCUACACGCACCUCCGAGAUGAACGAAGAACUCGCCCGAGGUUUGGUUUAGAGUGUAGCUCUGAACCGAGGCAGGAAGGAGCCCGAUCGGGAACCCGUAGUUGGUUAGCUCCGCAUGGGCCAGGGUCGGCGGGUUCGGGUCCGAAGAUGACAGAGGUAUCAGGACGAGAAGAAUAGAGAGAAGCAGGGGGGAUUUGAGCAUUGUGUCUUUUUUUUUUUUUUAUACUUUUUCGCUUUAUUUUUUAGGAAUUGAGGAUCUUUUUAGUGCGUUUCCAAAUGUCCAAUCGUUUGGAUUCUUUCGGUAUC